GGAUCCAGACUUUGAUCCUGGCUCAGGAUGAACGCUAGCGGCAGGCUUAACACAUGCAAGUCGAGGGGCAGCGCGGGGCAGCAAUGUUCUGGCGGCGACCGGCGGAAGGGUGCGUAACGCGUGAGCGACAUGCCCGUUGCCCGGGGACAACCGGUGGAAACGCCGACUAAUCCCCGAUGGGACGGAGGCCCUCAUGGGUCUCCGUUGAAAGUUACGGCGGCGACGGAUUGGCUCGCGUCCGAUUAGCUUGUUGGCGGGGUAACGGCCCACCAAGGCUACGAUCGGUAGGGGUUCUGAGAGGAAGGUCCCCCACAAUGGAACUGAGACACGGUCCAUACUCCUACGGGAGGCAGCAGUGAGGAAUAUUGGUCAAUGGGCGGAAGCCUGAACCAGCCAUGCCGCGUGCGGGAAGGAGGCCCUAUGGGCUGUGAACCGCUUUUGCCUGGGGGCAAUAAGGGCGUCGUGCACGUCCGAUGAGAGUACCAGGCGAAUAAGCAUCGGCUAACUCCGUGCCAGCAGCCGCGGUAAUACGGGGGAUGCGAGCGUUAUCCGGAUUCAUUGGGUUUAAAGGGUGCGUAGGCUGUGCGUCAAGUCAGGGGUGAAAUUCCGGGGCUCAACUCCGGGGCUGCCCUUGAUACUGUCGCGCUGGAGUGCGGAUGCCGCCGGAGGAAUGAGUGGUGUAGCGGUGAAAUGCUUAGAUAUCACUCAGAACACCGAUUGCGAAGGCAUCUGGCGAAUCCGUAACUGACGCUGAGGCACGAAAGCGUGGGGAUAGAACAGGAUUAGAUACCCUGGUAUUCCACGCCGUAAACGAUGAUGGCUAACCGCCGGCGACACACUGUCGGUGGCCAAGCGAAAGCGAUAAGCCAUCCACCUGGGGAGUACGUCGGCAACGAUGCAACUCAAAGGAAUUGACGG
RNAcentral lists this ribosomal RNA (918 nucleotides) under uncultured Bacillota bacterium. RNAcentral's name for it is "bacterial SSU rRNA". It matches the Rfam family "Bacterial small subunit ribosomal RNA", at positions 1 to 916 of the family's 1533-position model. Lineage: Bacteria; Bacillati; Bacillota. RNAcentral also lists the same sequence under 1 other name. The record is from RNAcentral.